Molecule: unclassified non-coding RNA, 300 nt
Filed under: uncultured fungus
Lineage: Eukaryota; Fungi
Description: partial contains small subunit ribosomal RNA, internal transcribed spacer 1, and 5.8S ribosomal RNA
Rfam family: Eukaryotic small subunit ribosomal RNA (bases 1-73)
Source: RNAcentral
GCAAACUUGGUCAUUUAGAGGAAGUAAAAGUCGUAACAAGGUUUCCGUAGGUGAACCUGCGGAAGGAUCAUUAAUGUAAAGCGCGGACCGAGCGCCUCGGCCAGCGCCGCCAUCAAGGCGAGCGCGGCUGGAGCCUCGGCCCUGCCAGUCCCACACACACCCUUGUGAACCGGUGGGGGAAACCCUGCUAAUUACAAACACUUUAUGAAACAACUUUUAGUCCGGGUUGACGCCCGCCUAAUACUUAAAACAACUUUCAACAACGGAUCUCUUGGCUCUCGCAUCGAUGAAGAACGCAGC